GCGGGCGUGGCGGAAUUGGCAGACGCGUAUGGUUCAGGUCCAUAUGAGCUUCGGCUCAUGAAGGUUCAAGUCCUUUCGCCCGCACCA
This 87-nucleotide transfer RNA is filed under the name Coriobacterium glomerans PW2. RNAcentral's name for it is "tRNA-Leu (CAG) (tRNA-Leu-CAG-1-1)". It matches the Rfam family "tRNA". Rfam says of the family: Transfer RNA (tRNA) molecules are approximately 80 nucleotides in length. Their secondary structure includes four short double-helical elements and three loops (D, anti-codon, and T loops). Further hydrogen bonds mediate the characteristic L-shaped molecular structure. tRNAs have two regions of fundamental functional importance: the anti-codon, which is responsible for specific mRNA codon recognition, and the 3' end, to which the tRNAs corresponding amino acid is attached (by aminoacyl-tRNA synthetases). tRNAs cope with the degeneracy of the genetic code in two manners: having more than one tRNA (with a specific anti-codon) for a particular amino acid; and 'wobble' base-pairing, i.e. permitting non-standard base-pairing at the 3rd anti-codon position. The record is from RNAcentral. Lineage: Bacteria; Bacillati; Actinomycetota; Coriobacteriia; Coriobacteriales; Coriobacteriaceae. RNAcentral also lists the same sequence under 1 other name.